Molecule: ribosomal RNA, 1074 nt
Filed under: Salmonella enterica
Lineage: Bacteria; Pseudomonadati; Pseudomonadota; Gammaproteobacteria; Enterobacterales; Enterobacteriaceae
Also listed under: 2 other names
Description: partial 23S ribosomal RNA
Rfam family: Bacterial large subunit ribosomal RNA
Source: RNAcentral
AGACCCGAAACCCGGUGAUCUAGCCAUGGGCAGGUUGAAGGUUGGGUAACACUAACUGGAGGACCGAACCGACUAAUGUUGAAAAAUUAGCGGAUGACCUGUGGCUGGGGGUGAAAGGCCAAUCAAACCGGGAGAUAGCUGGUUCUCCCCGAAAGCUAUUUAGGUAGCGCCUCGUGAAUUCAUCUCCGGGGGUAGAGCACUGUUUCGGCUAGGGGGCCAUCCCGGCUUACCAACCCGAUGCAAACUGCGAAUACCGGAGAAUGUUAUCACGGGAGACACACGGCGGGUGCUAACGUCCGUCGUGAAGAGGGAAACAACCCAGACCGCCAGCUAAGGUCCCAAAGUCAUGGUUAAGUGGGAAACGAUGUGGGAAGGCCCAGACAGCCAGGAUGUUGGCUUAGAAGCAGCCAUCAUUUAAAGAAAGCGUAAUAGCUCACUGGUCGAGUCGGCCUGCGCGGAAGAUGUAACGGGGCUAAACCAUGCACCGAAGCUGCGGCAGCGACGCUUAUGCGUUGUUGGGUAGGGGAGCGUUCUGUAAGCCUGCGAAGGUGGCCUGUGAGGGUUGCUGGAGGUAUCAGAAGUGCGAAUGCUGACAUAAGUAACGAUAAAGCGGGUGAAAAGCCCGCUCGCCGGAAGACCAAGGGUUCCUGUCCAACGUUAAUCGGGGCAGGGUGAGUCGACCCCUAAGGCGAGGCCGAAAGGCGUAGUCGAUGGGAAACGGGUUAAUAUUCCCGUACUUGGUGUUACUGCGAAGGGGGGACGGAGAAGGCUAUGUUGGCCGGGCGACGGUUGUCCCGGUUUAAGCGUGUAGGUGUGUGUUCCAGGUAAAUCCGGUUCACUUUAACACUGAGGCGUGACGACGAGGCACUACGGUGCUGAAGCAACAAAUGCCCUGCUUCCAGGAAAAGCCUCUAAGCAUCAGGUAACAUCAAAUCGUACCCCAAACCGACACAGGUGGUCAGGUAGAGAAUACCAAGGCGCUUGAGAGAACUCGGGUGAAGGAACUAGGCAAAAUGGUGCCGUAACUUCGGGAGAAGGCACGCUGACACGUAGGUGAAGUGAUUUACUCAUGGA